RNAcentral lists this ribosomal RNA (1290 nucleotides) under Staphylococcus aureus. Its description in RNAcentral is "partial 23S ribosomal RNA". It matches the Rfam family "Bacterial large subunit ribosomal RNA", at positions 1611 to 2904 of the family's 2925-position model. The record is from RNAcentral. Lineage: Bacteria; Bacillati; Bacillota; Bacilli; Caryophanales; Staphylococcaceae.
AGAAAAGCCUCUAGAUAGAAAAUAGGUGCCCGUACCGCAAACCGACACAGGUAGUCAAGAUGAGAAUUCUAAGGUGAGCGAGCGAACUCUCGUUAAGGAACUCGGCAAAAUGACCCCGUAACUUCGGGAGAAGGGGUGCUCUUUAGGGUUAACGCCCAGAAGAGCCGCAGUGAAUAGGCCCAAGCGACUGUUUAUCAAAAACACAGGUCUCUGCUAAACCGUAAGGUGAUGUAUAGGGGCUGACGCCUGCCCGGUGCUGGAAGGUUAAGAGGAGUGGUUAGCUUCUGCGAAGCUACGAAUCGAAGCCCCAGUAAACGGCGGCCGUAACUAUAACGGUCCUAAGGUAGCGAAAUUCCUUGUCGGGUAAGUUCCGACCCGCACGAAAGGCGUAACGAUUUGGGCACUGUCUCAACGAGAGACUCGGUGAAAUCAUAGUACCUGUGAAGAUGCAGGUUACCCGCGACAGGACGGAAAGACCCCGUGGAGCUUUACUGUAGCCUGAUAUUGAAAUUCGGCACAGCUUGUACAGGAUAGGUAGGAGCCUUUGAAACGUGAGCGCUAGCUUACGUGGAGGCGCUGGUGGGAUACUACCCUAGCUGUGUUGGCUUUCUAACCCGCACCACUUAUCGUGGUGGGAGACAGUGUCAGGCGGGCAGUUUGACUGGGGCGGUCGCCUCCUAAAAGGUAACGGAGGCGCUCAAAGGUUCCCUCAGAAUGGUUGGAAAUCAUUCAUAGAGUGUAAAGGCAUAAGGGAGCUUGACUGCGAGACCUACAAGUCGAGCAGGGUCGAAAGACGGACUUAGUGAUCCGGUGGUUCCGCAUGGAAGGGCCAUCGCUCAACGGAUAAAAGCUACCCCGGGGAUAACAGGCUUAUCUCCCCCAAGAGUUCACAUCGACGGGGAGGUUUGGCACCUCGAUGUCGGCUCAUCGCAUCCUGGGGCUGUAGUCGGUCCCAAGGGUUGGGCUGUUCGCCCAUUAAAGCGGUACGCGAGCUGGGUUCAGAACGUCGUGAGACAGUUCGGUCCCUAUCCGUCGUGGGCGUAGGAAAUUUGAGAGGAGCUGUCCUUAGUACGAGAGGACCGGGAUGGACAUACCUCUGGUGUACCAGUUGUCGUGCCAACGGCAUAGCUGGGUAGCUAUGUGUGGACGGGAUAAGUGCUGAAAGCAUCUAAGCAUGAAGCCCCCCUCAAGAUGAGAUUUCCCAACUUCGGUUAUAAGAUCCCUCAAAGAUGAUGAGGUUAAUAGGUUCGAGGUGGAAGCAUGGUGACAUGUGGAGCUGACGAAUACUAA